UCUGCCUUAUGUAGAUGCGAUACAUUGGUAAAUCAAUGCAAUGAUAUCACCAUACGACGAUUUAUCGCUUAUAAGCCGCCGAAAUGCGAAAUCAAUGUUGUAGUAGCAGUGUAGGUUUCAGAUGUCGUUAGUUAUGGCAUAUUGUAGAUAUUUUCGUUGUAUAUAGUCCAUUGUAGAUAGUUGGAUAUAGCUAGAAUUUAUACAGUCCGUACUAUGACAGAAUAGGCGAAAUGAAAUUAAUUGAAGUAAACGAAGUUGAGCAUACCAAGAACGCAAUAAACUAUUAGGAAUAUAAGUACUAAAGUACCUCAGUUCGCACGUCAUACCACAGUUAAGCUCGUUGCUUGUUUACGCUUCAAGUAUGUCAUGUUUUCGUCUAUUUGCGUUUGCUGAAACG
Molecule: non-coding RNA, 397 nt
Organism: Paramuricea clavata
Lineage: Eukaryota; Metazoa; Cnidaria; Anthozoa; Malacalcyonacea; Plexauridae
Source: the annotation of a GenBank genome assembly